GUCUUUGGGGCAGGGUGCGAUUCCCGACCGAUGGUGAAAGUCCAUGAACCUCCUUUGCGAGGCCGACCCGGUGCGAUUCCGGGACCGACGGUACAGUCCGGAUGGGAAAAGAC
This 113-nucleotide non-coding RNA is filed under the name bovine gut metagenome. RNAcentral's name for it is "FMN riboswitch (RFN element)". It matches the Rfam family "FMN riboswitch aptamer (RFN element)". From Rfam's summary of the family: The RFN element is a highly conserved domain that is found frequently in the 5'-untranslated regions of prokaryotic mRNAs that encode for flavin mononucleotide (FMN) biosynthesis and transport proteins. This element is a metabolite-dependent riboswitch that directly binds FMN in the absence of proteins. The record is from RNAcentral.